AUGGACGCGCGGGGGCGGCGGGCGGGGAGCCGCGGCCCCACCGAAGGGACCCCCGGCCGCCGAGCGGCCUCUACGUCAGCGCCCCGGGUGGCGCCGCCUCCGCCCGCCGGCCUGGGCCGCCGCUCCCGCCGAGGGAAGGCGGGCCGGGGACCGCGGGGAGAAGACUCCAGCAGUGCCUGGGACGCGCUCAGCAUCAGCUCUAGGCGGUGACCACUCCACCCUCCGCACUCGCAGGGACACUUCGGCACUGCUGCUCCACAGACAGGCCCCGGCACCCACCAGCUACUUCCUGUCUCUAUGAACUUGACCACUGUAGGGACCUUGGAUAAGUAAGUGGAAUCCUACAGUAUUUGCCUUCUUGUGACUGGCUUACUUCACCUGGCAUCAGGUCUUCGAGGUUCAUCCAUGUUGUAACAUGUGAGAGUUCCCUUCCUUUUUAAGACUAUUAUUUCAUUGUGUUUAUAAUCCAUGUUUAAUUUCUCCAUUCAUUGUUGAAGGACACUUGGGUUGUUCCCACGUUUUGGAUGUUGUGAAUAAUGUUGCUAUGAAUGUGGGUGUGCAAAUAUCUGUUCGUGUCCCUGCUUUUACUUCUUUUGUGUGUAUACCCAGAAGUGAGAUUGGUGAAUCAUAUGAUAAUUCUAUUUUUAACAUUUUUAAGAACCAUGCCGUUUUCCACAGCUGCUGCACCAUUUUAUAUUCCCACCAACAGUGCACAAGCGUCCCAGUUUCUCCACAUCCUCGCCAACACUUGUUAUUUUCUGUAUGUAUGUGUGUGUGUGUGUACAUGUGUUGAUGAUAGCUGUCCU
This is a long non-coding RNA of Panthera uncia (snow leopard), 806 nucleotides long. RefSeq lists it as uncharacterized. Lineage: Eukaryota; Metazoa; Chordata; Mammalia; Carnivora; Felidae. The record is from RefSeq and is a predicted model, not a curated record. The transcript is spliced from 3 exons.